Molecule: ribosomal RNA, 411 nt
Filed under: uncultured Clostridium sp.
Lineage: Bacteria; Bacillati; Bacillota; Clostridia; Eubacteriales; Clostridiaceae
Description: bacterial SSU rRNA
Rfam family: Bacterial small subunit ribosomal RNA
Source: RNAcentral
CACAAUGGGGGAAACCCUGAUGCAGCAACGCCGCGUGAGUGAUGACGGUCUUCGGGUUGUAAAACUCUGUCUUUGGGGACGAUAAUGACGGUACCCAAGGAGGAAGCCACGGCUAACUACGUGCCAGCAGCCGCGGUAAUACGUAGGUGGCAAGCGUUGUCCGGAUUUACUGGGCGUAAAGGGAGCGUAGGUGGAUAUUUAAGUGGGAUGUGAAAUACUCGGGCUUAACCUGGGUGCUGCAUUCCAAACUGGAUAUCUAGAGUGCAGGAGAGGAAAGGAGAAUUCCUAGUGUAGCGGUGAAAUGCGUAGAGAUUAGGAAGAAUACCAGUGGCGAAGGCGCCUUUCUGGACUGUAACUGACACUGAGGCUCGAAAGCGUGGGGAGCAAACAGGAUUAGAUACCCUGGUAGUC